CUGCAGCUAACUUCAAAGGCAGCGUCUGGGUCCUGGCUCCAGGUUUGCUACGUUUUUCUCAUCUCACUGAGCGCAGAUCAGACGGUAAGAGGCAGCGCAUUUGUCAGCUAUGCUCUUAAUGAAGAUACCGCUUGCCUCUUUAGCACGGCUUGGCCUGCUGACUACAGCUGAUGAUGAGCAGAGCCCAAGUCAGCUCAGCUCCCUGUCAGUCUCAUCUCUGCCUUCCACUUCCUACUUUUGCACCAGUCGUUGGUCUUGGCCUCCUCAUGCACGGCUGCAGGGCCUGCUCCCUAUCUCAAGACUCCACCUGCAGCCGUGGUGUUUCCUUUCAAAGAGCAGAAGGUAAGAAGUGAGAAAGCUUCAUGGAACAUGGGCCUCCGGGCCUCUCGUGUUAGCAGGCUUCACCUACACAGUAAGAAAUACCCACUGCCCUAGUUCCUUCCAUUUGUUACGGUGUUGUAGGGACUGGUGGCUCUCUUAGUCCUCCUGGAUGCAGAACCCUGGGGGUGACUCAAGUCUCAGCUCAGAUUUCUGGAUAAGGUUUGGCUACUGUGUUGUCCCGUGAUGUUUUCUGUUGUAAGAAGCAGUGAGCCGUGAGCAGAUGUUCCAGAUUUCAAGAACAAGGACAGGUCACUGGGCCUUCCAGAUCUGUGUGGCAGAAAAGCAUCCUGCCUGAUGAGUGCCUGCAGAGUCCUUGCCUGGCAGGAGAAAAGCCCCACUGCGGACGGUCCCUGGUGCCAGGCACUGGGCUGACUAAAGUAGAUGAUUUAUCUCAAAGUCACUCUGCACUCCUGGUGGGUUUAAACUAUCAAUUCACACCUGUCUCCUUUGGUGCAGGAGCAAACAGCUUCAGUCAGUCUGGGAGUAAAAAUCCCAUCUGAGCUCACAGACGUUUGUUAUCCAGAGAGGAACCCCUCCCACGGCCUCGGAGAGAGAUGAUCUCAGUCAAAGCACUGAAAUGUGAAGUCAUUUUUCUGACAGAAUGCCUCCCCGUGCCCUUGUUGCGAGGAGGAAGCAGAGGGCACAGAUAUUUGAGAUGUCUGUGUUAAUAAAAUAAUUUAAGAAAGACCACACCACUGAUCCUGCAUCCCUCUGCUCUGCAGAAACGGCUGUGAAAUGUUCAUCCUGGUGGGCUGCGACUCUCUGAGCAUCCAUUUGCCCAACUGUCUCCUUUAUUCAAAUAAUUGUCUUAAAAUUAAUUCAGUCUGGGGAAAAUCUAUUCCAAAACAGAGCAAAUUAGCAUCCCAAGAUGCGAGCUGCUUCUUUCUCAAUGUGAAAGGCAACGCUGUGGGGGUUGGGGCCAGUGGAGAAAGAAGAUAUUUGCUCCUGAAAAUAGGCUCAACAUAACCUUUACAUUUACUAAAUAAUUCACUCAUCUGGAACCAUAAAACCAUCACGGCUAGAAGGACUGUGAACAUUCCCAGAAUAUAUUAACUUUGACCAUGACUUGAGCCUUUUCCAGGGCAGUUUGAGUGUAUCUGAUGCAAAGAAACAACUCUGAACACAAACCGGUUGUGUGAGAGCAGAAUUCAAAGCUCAGCUUUAAGGAAACUGCGAUCUCGGUUUACGUGAGAAACUGCUUCAAAGUGAUGAGGAUACACAUACAGGGAUUAGAAAACCAAAGAACAGCUCAAAUGGAAAUUGUCCUUUUGUUAAUCCAUGUAUUUUAUUCCCAGCGCAGCUCUACCUUCAUCUGAACUUGUCUCCCAGCAAUUUUCCACCUCAACUCAGAAUCACUGUAAGUUGAGCUCUUACUGCAAAGCGAACCUUCUGUAACUCCCAUCUCUCACCUACGUUUGAAGAUCUUACACAUCCCCUUUCCUAAGGCUCCGGUAACUUAUCAAAUAGGACCGUAACCACGUUGCUUAAUGACAGCUGGGACACUCGUCAUUACUCACCUCUUUCACAUCCAUCCAUCUCCAGCAAAAGGUGGUGUUCAAUCUGUUACAGCAGCUUAAUGCCUGCCCAGCAUAAAAGUGUCACAGAUGCUCACCAUCACCCAUCAUAAAUAAAACAUGAGGCUCCUUGCAAGGUCUGCAGAUCGUCCCUGCGUUUGAUGGAAUUGGUUUUGGCGUGUGACAGUGCAGGACUGGAAAGUCGCUGGAUGCCCUUCAUUACGACAAAUGGGCUAUUGAUCUCCAGCUGUGCCAUUAGCACACAUUGCACCUGCUGCUGGAGCUCAUAGGAUACGUUUGAAAGCUUAAGCGAGGGGAAUGCGUCUGUGCACAGGUAAUUAGUCUCUCGACAGAACGUACAAAGGCUCACAAGACAGACAGGCACAGGUACGGACCAUGCGUCUGAAACGGGCUUUGAAAUGCUACUUGAGAAAGAAUCGCAGAGAGGUUAAGACACCUGCAUGAAAGCCUCAGUUUUUGCUAACCCAUACUGCUGUCCAGAUUAAACAGGGACAGCUGAAGUGUGGGGGGAAAAGAAAGGGCUGAGAUUCACCCUGCUGCUUAUUGAGCACUGCAGGUUCAUUAGCUUUGAACACCCUGCGCGCCUCUCAUAUGCAUUACUCAUAGGCUUCCCACUGUACCCAGGUUUAUAGUACCGAGUGAUGCCUAAAUUCAUCAUCUGUACGCCCACAGCUCUUUGUGCCCACACAGCCCUUCUCUGCAAAGCAUUGAGGGACCCGGGGCAGCAGCUUCCCAGCCCUCAGCGUGUGGGGGCUCUUGGCACUGAGUGAUGGCAGCCACAUGACACGGGAAGAGCUGGCAACAGAAAACUAAGGAGCUUAGGGCUUCCUAACUGGAGAUCACCAGUGUGAGCAGUCACUAUUGGGGCGCACAAGCAGUUGGAAAGGUGUUAUUCCUUCCUGGAGAUCACAAGAAUGUGUCUGUGGGCACGGCUGCCCUGGCCUUACCAGGAAGCUCCUGCCACUGCCAGCACUGCUGCUGUGCAGAGCAUUGGGCCGAGCCAAGGCUGCUGCAGAACGGCUUCAUCUGUAGGGUCAGCAAGGGCAUAGGAGCACGGGUUUCACUUGGGCCCUUGGCAAGGAAGCUGUAGCCAUAUUCUCCCAUCCCAUGGUAACACAAGGGGGAGCCCCUGUAGCUUUCAAUUAGCAACGAGAGCAGCAACACAUUACUUUCUACCCCACAUGCAAAAGCUCAGCUUCAAUUACAAAGAGAGGCCUGAAAGCCACUUCUUACCUGCAUCACAAGGAGAGUGCUUCUAGCUCAGACAGGUGCAAGCCACAACUUACCAGGAGAGGAAGGAACAGCAGGCCUAGUGACUUCAGGCUCGUUUUCCUCUGUCCUGCUUUGUCAUUUCAAGGCACUUCAAAAACCCCACACAAAGACUAUGCUGGUACCAGAGGUGACAGAGAAACCUCGUGGUCAUAUUCUGCCCACCAUGAUGAGAGAUCAGGACGAUCCCUUUAACCCCUCAUUAAAAGGCUCUGCCAACUCCCAGCAAUCCCAUCAGCUGCCUGUGCUUGUACCCAAGAAGGAACAGUUUUGGCUGCUAGGGCAUGAGCAUCCAUUUGUUCUUAACCUCAAAAAGACAUAGUUGGUUUUGCUCUCCGUUGCCAUCCAAUUUUAAAUACAGAGCACCUCACCAUCUAUUCUACGUAUGCAGCUCUUUGGGAUCAAGAGGAGCAUUAACCACAAGGAUUUUCUCCCGUCUCUCCUUUGUAGGGUUUACAAUGAAACAACAUCUUACAAGUCACUGACUCACACACUUCUGCUGUACCAGCCUUCCCCCAUAGCUGUGUCUUAGUUCUCUUUAAAGCACUCCACAGCAUAUAUUGAACCAGUGAAACAAUUCCAUCUGUUCUGUGAGUCAACGGUGAUGAUUUCACUGUUAAAACAGUGAAGAAGAAGGGACUUCUCUCUGUGCAGCUGUGCUAAAUCCAACAAGAGAGAAGGGCAUGCCGUGCUCAGAGCAACAACUUCAGACGGCACCACAGCAUUGGGGCCCCACUGCUGGAGGUCUGUCUAGCCCUGCCUGGCACCUUACAGGCCAUGGUCUCAAUCAGAAUUAUUACAGGAUGGCUUCCUAGCACCUUCCUCACGCUCCUGCCCAGCUCUCCCUCCAGCACAUGCAGGUUCAGGCACAACCCACAGGUCCUCGCUGCACAGCAAGCGCCAGCACGCAGGUAACAAUUGCAUCAGUCAGAAGCAAAUCGAUUAAUCCAACAAUACCGCAACAAAUUGGCCCUGGAGCAAUUCAAUUGAGUUAAAAGGCAGGACGGAAAAGCAGGUUAACUGAGAAAAGCGUUAACACAGUCAUUUAAUGGAAACCUUGACGUUCUGGCUCCAGUCAAGUGCAAAAGAUUCUUUUUGGGUCAGCUACUGGCCACACAACCCCCUCCAGCCAAAACGCUGGGAUGCAACUCCAGCUCAGAGAUCAGAUCUGCUCAAUGUAAGGCUCAAGGGCCAUCCCUCAAGCUCAUCUCUCCAUCCACAGCAGGCAACAUCUAGGGAAAGCAGGCUGACUGGGCUAAGGAUGCUGUCUGAUUUGCUCCUUUAAGUCCUGCUCCAUUGCUAGGAAUACCUCAAGCCUUUCUACACCCCUGAUCUGCAGGCUGGGCACUGGGUUAUUUCAACCAAGCCACUCCAGUGAAUAUUUCCAAGCCCAGAGCUGCAAGUUUGAAGCCAAAAGACAUCAUCAGUGACUGGUGCAGAGAUACAGGCAGAGACGCAGGAUCAAACAUAUCUGUGACACCUGGCAAGGCAAACCAUAGCCUCUCAAAAUGAUGAGCGGAUGCCACUGUUAGAACCUAGAUUUUACUUUGUAUGGGCUCAAACACCAUCCCCUCGGUGGGGCUGACCGAAGCAAUUCAGGACACAGGACAUGAAGGCCAUCUAUUCAGAUAUCACUAGAGGACAGCUGGUGUCAGGGGAAUUCUUAAGGAAUGACUUCUGACGGUGCGUGACACUUCAGUAACACCUACCCCCCCUCCUGGAUGUGCUUCCAAAGUGACAGCGUCAUGCUUUGGAAAACACACACGUACAAUUUGCUAGAACAUGAUGUGUAUGAGUUGAAAGCACAAUGGCUGGCGAGCAGGCUGAGAUCAUUACGAAGAGAAUGCUUAAAAGGUAACGUAUGGGGCACUGCAGUAGCAGCACGGCCAUCUCCAGUAAUGAGGGAGACACUCUGCACGGAUAUUUGGCUCAUUCCGAAAGCAAUAAGCCACAGGAAGGCAGCAGCACCACAGCACUGGUUACCAAUGAGGAGCCCUUGCCCUUCCCUGAAUGCAAAAGCAUUCAUGCCGAUGGGUUGCUCAUGCACAACAAAACGCAUUAUGUAAGAGCACCACAGCAGAAAGCAAGAAGAAAAAGCUUUUAUGCCACAAAAAAGACUUGCAUGCAAGCAACGGACUAUCUCCUCAAUACCAUCAUAUCUCCCUACUUAAAGUUACCUUCUGGGAAACAGCACAACUAAGUUCACUUUCCUGCCUCCAGCUGCCUACCUCCUCCUGUCCGUGCAUUUCUGUUUGUCUCAGAUACAGCUGCUGGCAACUUUCAGAGGACUCGGAAGGUUUGAUUAUGAAGGUAGCGUGGCGCUGUGUUUCCUUCAGUCGAAAGCCUUCCCCUCUGUGCAGCCCCCCAUGCCUCACCCCUGCUACAGCCGUCCCAAUUCUGCUAACAAACCUGCUUCUUUUUUCAAGUCAGAUAGGUCCUGAUUGCUCAGAUUGUCUAAAAUGUUCUGUGCACUUAACCAUAAACUCAUGUAUGAGUAAUGCACCGAAAUGAAGUCGGUGACCUCAGCUCCAGUGCUCACCAGAUAAGAACACAUUACCAUCCUUUGUGAAAGAGGGCAGAGAUGUUGAGAAAAGUCCCAAGUUGCAAAAAUUGUACCUUGUUUUCCAAAUCCCCCUUUAAAUCUGGAACAAAACACCCUUCACCCUGUUUAAAAACACUGAAUUUUGUAGAGAUGUUCCCAGACGGUCAAACUAUUGAUCCAGUUACAGGAAGGGGAACAAGAGGGCCCUAUGAACGCAUCAAUCCCUCACAUUGUGACUGGCUGAGACAGACCACUAAUACAAAUGUCUUCUUCAGACAGACAAGAAACCCUCUGCCCAAAUCCUGUCACUUCAGUGCUACAAAAGCUCUGACUUUGGAAUGCAGUUCUAAAAGGGACUGUGCUGGAAGCAGUAGGCUUUGGCAUGCUCUUGGCUUUGGCCAUCUACACCUCACCUUUAGAGACUGAGGAGGGAAAGCAAGCAGUUGGUUGGAGGCAGCACUGAGGAAGGGUGUGGGACCUUUCCGGCAGGAUUCACGAAGAAAUGCCCCUUUGCUAUCAAACUGCCUCUGAACUCACACUCAUUUAGCACGUACAACCAAAUCUGAGUUUACAUAGUUAUCUUUGAGCUCUUUUCCACCUUCUAUUUUUCCUCCCCUCUCCAUAUCCCGUGAUCUCUUUCUCCCUUUCUUAGCCCAUAUUACCCCUUCAUCAUUUCUACCUUCACUUGCUCAGUCCCAAUGGCACUGAUUCAGAGCACCGCUCCUCUUCAGUCUUCUGGUAUUGUCAAUACUACGGUGAAGGGCAGAUCAAUAGUGCUCCAUUUGUACCGAGAAAUAAAAACUAUGCUAAUUCCUC
Molecule: non-coding RNA, 6543 nt
Organism: Coturnix japonica (Japanese quail)
Lineage: Eukaryota; Metazoa; Chordata; Aves; Galliformes; Phasianidae
Source: RefSeq, a predicted model, not a curated record